AUUGAACGCUGGCGGCAGGCUUAACACAUGCAAGUCGAGCGAGCGGCGGACGGGUGCGUCAUGUCUGGGAAACUGCCUGAUGGAGGGGGAUAACUACUGGAAACGGUAGCUAAUACCGCAUACCAUUAGAUGUGCCCAGAUGGGAUUAGCUAGUAGGUGGGGUAACGGCUCACCUAGGCGACGAUCCCUCGCUGGUCUGAGAGGAUGACAAGCCACACUGGAACUGAGACACGGUCCAGACACCUACGGGAGGCAGCAGUGGGGAAUAGUGCACAAUGGGCGCAAGCCUGAUGCAGCCAUGCGGCGUGUAUGAAGAAGGCCUUCGGGUUGAAAAGCACUUUCAGCGAGGAGGCGGUACUCGCAGAAGAAGCACCGGCUAACACCGUGCCAGCAGCCGCGGUAAUUC
Molecule: ribosomal RNA, 406 nt
Filed under: uncultured bacterium
Lineage: Bacteria
Description: partial 16S ribosomal RNA
Rfam family: Bacterial small subunit ribosomal RNA
Source: RNAcentral